AUUGAACGCUGGCGGCAGGCCUAACACAUGCAAGUCGAGCGGAUGAAGGGAGCUUGCUCCUGGAUUCAGCGGCGGACGGGUGAGUAAUGCCUAGGAAUCUGCCUGGUAGUGGGGGAUAACGUCCGGAAACGGGCGCUAAUACCGCAUACGUCCUGAGGGAGAAAGUGGGGGAUCUUCGGACCUCACGCUAUCAGAUGAGCCUAGGUCGGAUUAGCUAGUUGGUGGGGUAAAGGCCUACCAAGGCGACGAUCCGUAACUGGUCUGAGAGGAUGAUCAGUCACACUGGAACUGAGACACGGUCCAGACUCCUAAGGGAGGCAGCAGUGGGGAAUAUUGGACAAUGGGCGAAAGCCUGAUCCAGCCAUGCCGCGUGUGUGAAGAAGGUCUGCGGAUUGUAAAGCACUUUAAGUUGGGAGGAAGGGCAGUAAGUUAAUACCUUGCUGUUUUGACGUUACCAACAGAAUAAGCACCGGCUAACUUCGUG
Molecule: ribosomal RNA, 484 nt
Filed under: uncultured bacterium
Lineage: Bacteria
Description: partial 16S ribosomal RNA
Rfam family: Bacterial small subunit ribosomal RNA
Source: RNAcentral